GAUGAACGCUGACUGAAUGCUUAACACAUGCAAGUCUACUUGAUCCUUCGGGUGAUGGUGGCGGACGGGUGAGUAACGCGUAAAGAACUUGCCUUGCAGUCUGGGACAACGUCUGGAAACGGACGCUAAUACCGGAUAUUAUGAUUGAAUCGCAUGAUUUGAUUAUGAAAGCUAUAUGCGCUGUGAGAGAGCUUUGCGUCCCAUUAAUUAGUUGGUGAGGUAACGGCUCACCAAGACGAUGAUGGGUAGCCGGCCUGAGAGGGUGAACGGCCACAAAGAGACUGAGACACGGCCCUUACUCCUACAGGAGGCAGCAAUGGGGAAUAUUGGACAAUGGACCAAAAGUCUGAUCCAGCAAUUCUGUGUGCACGAUGAAGUUUUUCGGAAUGUAGAGUGCUUUCAGUUGGGAAGAAGUCAGUGACGGUACCAACAGAAGAAGCGACGGCUAAAUACGUGCCAGCAGCCGCGGUAAUACGUAUGUCGCAAGCGUUAUCCGGAUUUAUUGGGCGUAAAGCGCGUCUAGGCGGUUUAGUAAGUCUGAUGUGAAAAUGCGGGGCUCAACCCCGUAUUGCGUUGGAAACUGCUAAACUAUAGUACUGGAGAGGUAGGCGGAACUACAAGUGUAUAGGUGAAAUUCGUAGAUAUUUGUAGGAAUGCCGAUGGGGAA
This 667-nucleotide ribosomal RNA is filed under the name uncultured bacterium. Its description in RNAcentral is "bacterial SSU rRNA". It matches the Rfam family "Bacterial small subunit ribosomal RNA", at positions 28 to 719 of the family's 1533-position model. The record is from RNAcentral.